Molecule: ribosomal RNA, 424 nt
Filed under: uncultured bacterium
Lineage: Bacteria
Description: bacterial SSU rRNA
Rfam family: Bacterial small subunit ribosomal RNA
Source: RNAcentral
AACGCGAAGAACCUUACCGAGGCUUGACAUCGGAGGAACAUCCUAGAAAUAGGGUUUCGGAGCAAUCCGACUUCCAGACAGGUGCUGCAUGGCUGUCGUCAGCUCGUGCCGUGAGGUGUUGGGUUAAGUCCCGCAACGAGCGCAACCCUCGUCGUGUGUUGGUCCGCAAGGAUCUCUCACGCGAGACCGCCGGUGAGAAGCCGGAGGAAGGUGGGGAUGACGUCAAGUCAGCAUGGCCCUUACGUCUCGGGCUACACACGUGCUACAAUGGGUAGGACAACGAGUCGCAAACUAGUGAUAGUAAGCUAAUCUCUUAAACCUACCCUCAGUUCGGAUUGAAGGCUGCAACUCGCCUUCAUGAAGUCGGAAUCGCUAGUAAACGCAGAUCAGCUACGCUGCGUUGAAUACGUUCCCGGGCCUUGUA